CCGUCGGCGACCGGCGCACGGGUGAGUAACACGUAUGCAACCUGGCCGUGACAGAUGGAUAACCGGGAGAAAUCCCGCCUAAUACAACAUAAUGCCGGGAGGGGACAUCCCCUGCCGGCCAAAGGGGGCGACCCCGGUCACGGAUGGGCAUGCGGCGCAUUAGGUAGUUGGUGGGGCAACGGCCCACCAAGCCGACGAUGCGUAGGGGUUCUGAGAGGAAGGUCCCCCACAUUGGAACUGAGACACGGUCCAAACUCCUACGGGAGGCAGCAG
This 273-nucleotide ribosomal RNA is filed under the name uncultured bacterium. RNAcentral's name for it is "partial 16S ribosomal RNA". It matches the Rfam family "Bacterial small subunit ribosomal RNA", at positions 85 to 354 of the family's 1533-position model. The record is from RNAcentral.